This 223-nucleotide ribosomal RNA is filed under the name uncultured fungus. RNAcentral's name for it is "partial 18S ribosomal RNA". It matches the Rfam family "Eukaryotic small subunit ribosomal RNA", at positions 1044 to 1273 of the family's 1831-position model. The record is from RNAcentral. Lineage: Eukaryota; Fungi.
ACUAGGGAUCGGGCCCAGUUUCAAACCGACUUCGCUCGCACCNUAAGAGAAGUCAAAGUUUUGGGUUCUGGNGNGAGUAUGGUCGCAAGGCUGAAACUUAAAGGAAUGACGGAAGGCACCACCAGGAUNGAGCCUGCGGCUAAUUUGACUCNACACGGGGAAACUCACCAGGUCCAGACACAGUAAGGACUGACAGAUUGAGAGCUCUUUCUUGAUUCUGUGA